AAUGGAUCUGUUGGGUCGUAUGGCAAUUCCUGUUUAACUUUUAGAGCAUUCGCCAAAUUGUUUUUCACUGUGGCUGCACCAUUUUACAUUCCCACUAGCACU
Molecule: microRNA precursor, 102 nt
Filed under: Marmota monax (woodchuck)
Lineage: Eukaryota; Metazoa; Chordata; Mammalia; Rodentia; Sciuridae
Source: RNAcentral